GGGUGAGUAACGCGUGGGCAACCUGCCCCAUACCGGGGGAUAACAGCCGGAAAUGGCUGCUAAUACCGCAUAAGCGCCAAAUGCCGCAUGGCAUGGGGCGGAAAACUCCGGUGGUAUGGGAUGGGCCCGCGUCUGAUUAGGCAGUUGGCGGGGCAGCGGCCCACCAAACCGACGAUCAGUAGCCGGCCUGAGAGGGCGGCCGGCCACAUUGGGACUGAGACACGGCCCAGACUCCUGCGGGAGGCAGCAGUGGGGAAUAUUGCACAAUGGGGGAAACCCUGAUGCAGCGACGCCGCGUGGGUGAAGAAGUAUUUCGGUAUGUAAAGCCCUAUCAGCAGGGAAGAAAAAAAUGACGGUACCUGACUAAGAAGCACCGGCUAAAUACGUGCCAGCAGCCGCGGUAAUACGUAUGGUGCAAGCGUUAUCCGGAUUUACUGGGCGUAAAGGGAGCGCAGGCGGCACGCCAAGUCUGAUGUGAAACCCCGGGGCUCAACUCCGGGCAUGCAUUGGAAACUGGCGGGCUGGAGUGCCGGAGAGGUAAGCGGAAUUCCUAGUGUAGCGGUGAAAUGCGUAGAUAUUAGGAGGAACACCAGUGGCGAAGGCGGCUUACUGGACGGCAACUGACGUGAGGCUCGAAAGCGUGGGGAGCAAACAGGAUUAGAUACCCUGGUAGUCCACGCUGUAAACGAU
RNAcentral lists this ribosomal RNA (690 nucleotides) under uncultured bacterium. RNAcentral describes it as "bacterial SSU rRNA". It matches the Rfam family "Bacterial small subunit ribosomal RNA", at positions 104 to 810 of the family's 1533-position model. The record is from RNAcentral.